Molecule: ribosomal RNA, 119 nt
Filed under: Lupinus angustifolius (narrow-leaved blue lupine)
Lineage: Eukaryota; Viridiplantae; Streptophyta; Magnoliopsida; Fabales; Fabaceae
Source: RNAcentral
AGGUGCGAUCAUACCAGCACUAAUACACCAGAUCCCAUCAGAACUACCCAGUUAAGCAUGCUUGGGCGAGAGUAGUACUAGGAUCGGUGACCUUCGGGGAAGUGCUCGUGUUGCACCUC